This 484-nucleotide ribosomal RNA is filed under the name uncultured bacterium. Its description in RNAcentral is "partial 16S ribosomal RNA". It matches the Rfam family "Bacterial small subunit ribosomal RNA", at positions 29 to 507 of the family's 1533-position model. The record is from RNAcentral.
AUUGAACGCUGGCGGCAUGCUUUACACAUGCAAGUCGGACGGCAGCGCGGGCUUCGGCCUGGCGGCGAGUGGCGAACGGGUGAGUAAUACAUCGGAACGUGCCCAGUAGUGGGGGAUAGCUCGGCGAAAGCCGGAUUAAUACCGCAUACGACCUGAGGCUGAAAGCGGGGGGUCUUCGGACCUCGCGCUAUUGGAGCGGCCGAUGGCAGAUUAGCUAGUUGGUGGGUUAAAGGCCUACCAAGGCGACGAUCUGUAGCUGGUCUGAGAGGACGACCAGCCACACUGGGACUGAGACAGGGCCCAGACGCCUACGGGAGGCAGCAGUGGGGAAUUUUGGACAAUGGGCGAAAGCCUGAUCCAGCAAUGCCGCGUGUGUGAUGAAGGCCUUCGGGUUGUAAAGCACUUUUGGCGGGAACGAAAAGGACUGUGCCAAUACCACGGUUCGAUGACGGUACCCGCAGAAUAAGCACCGGCUAACUACGUG